GCGGUGGUGGAAGAGGUGGUGGAAGAGGAGGUGGAGGAGAGGAAAUGCAAGUGCAUCUAAGCGCCGAGUGGCGUCGUACUUGUUGCGUCACUCUGUGACGUUGCAACACACAGAGUAGCGACUGUCAAUUCAUUGAGCUUUUGUAGGUAGCAAAAAUUAGACACUAAGGGAUUUUUUGGAGCGACGAUAACAACACCUGAGGAUGGCGGAAAGUGAAAAGUUUUGAGUGCAAACAACAACAACAACAAGAAGAUGCGACGACGCGCCGGGGAUUAUUAACAAAUUUAAAACAAAAGUUAUUUUAUUCUGCGAAUGUGAUAAAAUUAAUUUAAUGAAUUAAUUCAAGUGCAAACGAACUUUACGAAACAUAA
Molecule: long non-coding RNA, 371 nt
Organism: Nicrophorus vespilloides
Lineage: Eukaryota; Metazoa; Arthropoda; Insecta; Coleoptera; Silphidae
Exons: 2
Source: RefSeq, a predicted model, not a curated record